RNAcentral lists this long non-coding RNA (460 nucleotides) under Cricetulus griseus (Chinese hamster). RNAcentral's name for it is "lncRNA (ENSCGRG00015029914.1)". The record is from RNAcentral. Lineage: Eukaryota; Metazoa; Chordata; Mammalia; Rodentia; Cricetidae.
CAGAAAAUACCUUUUGAUUCCAACAAGCGCUCUUGAUAGGAGAGGAAUAUGAUAUGAUCUUUAAGAAAAACAAGAGAGAGAAGAACAAGAGAGGAAAUACAUUAAUAAAAUACCACACUGGCAUUCCACCCCACCCCUCAUUUUGACGUCCCAUUUUACAUCUCUCUGUGUGGCCCAUGUACUUAAAAGUACUCUAGCCACUACAUGCAAAACAGCAGGACUACACAAAAAUAGCCAACUGCAGUCUGUGGGUACUGCGAUUUCUCUCAGCCCAGGAGACCUGGCAUCUGGUUCCAGCAUUGCCCCUUCAUUUGUGUAUACUUGGGAAGCCACUGGCCUCUCUUGGAAGUCCCAGGCCUUGGCUUUGUAUACUUGCUGAGAAAUUGGCUUGACCAAAUGAUUUCCAAAUGACUCCUUUUAAACCUAAGUUGCUUUAUUUAUUUAUUUUGGUUUUUCAAAU